Molecule: non-coding RNA, 369 nt
Organism: Schizosaccharomyces pombe (fission yeast)
Lineage: Eukaryota; Fungi; Ascomycota; Schizosaccharomycetes; Schizosaccharomycetales; Schizosaccharomycetaceae
Source: the annotation of a GenBank genome assembly
UUUAAAUUUAACUUUACAUCUACACACAAAUUGAUUAAUAAAUAACGAAUGCCUUAAUAUACAUCUAAUUCUUUGCAAUUUUUUACAUUCUUUACAACGAUAGUAAACGAUUGACGAAAAAUUCCCAACGGCUACAAGUAUUGCAGGAUAAAAGAGAAAAUAAUAAUUCAUUAUGCAUUCCAAGUUGAAACCGGCAAGAAGAGAAUUGAGGAUAACAAGUCAAUAAAGAAAUGUGUUUACGGACGGGAAAAGAGCGACUAGAUAUGCAACUAGAAGAAGUGAAAAAGGAAGAAAAUUGGGAAACAGAAUUAACCAAGAGAGCCACCAUAUUUGGAAAAAGAACUUUUCGUUGUAGUACAGUAAAUUAAG